CUGGUCGCUGGCACCAAGGUGCGAGCCAGUGCUGCAGGCACCCGCGGCAGCUGCCGGUGCGCAGUAGGCACUUCACCCCUACCAGCAGCUGCAGGCUUUCGCCGGUGCACCGGGGCGUCGCAGAGCAGACACAGGGUCUCGCCGGGGUGAGGUCGCGGGCGGCUGAAGAUGGGAGGCUGUGGGCGUCCCGUCCUCCCCGUUCGAGGCCUGCUGCUCUGCGCCUUGGCUCUGCUCGUCUGCGCCCAGCACCCUCCGGCCGCAGCAGGUUUUCCAGAGUCCAGCGGUACUUACAACUCCUCCGCGGCCUCCAACUCCUCCGCGGCCUCCAACUCCUCCGCGGCCUCCAACUCCUCCGCGGCCUCCAACUCCUCCGCAGCACCCGACUCCUGGGUGGACGGGACAGAAGAAACACUGCUCACCUGCCAGAGCUUCCGCUGCUCCGGGGAGAGGUGUUACCAGGACGAAGCCUACGCCAACGAAACGCUGACCUGCCAAAACGGCUCCUACUGUGAGCUCUACCGAUUCUCCAGCACAAACUACACAGCCGGGUGCACCCGCGAGUGCAGCGCGGAGAGGUGCAGGACCAACAGCAGCGUGAGCGUGCAGCAGUGCGCCCUGGACUGUUGCGACUCGCCCCUCUGCCUUCAGCUCAACGCCAGCUCCUAUGGUGACCUGCUGCCCAGCACCACGCCAGCCGCCACCACCGCCACCGCCACCCCCCGAGCUCCCGCCCGAAAUGUAGGUAUCGGCUGGACGCGGGGUGRCCGGCUUGCCCUGGCCGCA
Molecule: long non-coding RNA, 783 nt
Filed under: Dromaius novaehollandiae (emu)
Lineage: Eukaryota; Metazoa; Chordata; Aves; Casuariiformes; Dromaiidae
Description: lncRNA (ENSDNVG00000011353.1)
Source: RNAcentral